UUUCUAAAUUUGUAAAAAUAUUUGAAUUGUGCAGGCAAACUGGACUCUGGAAUACUCCAAACUUAAAGCUAGAAUUGAACUUCUGCAGAGGAAUCAUAGCCACUAUAUGGGAGAAAAUCUUGACUCCAUGAGCCUGAAAGAUCUUCAAAUGUUGGAGCAACAGAUCGACACUUCUCUUAAAAACAUUCGAUCUAGAAAAAAUCAACAGUUGCAGGAAUCGAUCUCUGAGAUGCAGAAAAAGGUUGUCUUUUAAGCACUCGUAUUUUAAAUCUUAAAGUUAUUACUGCUUAUGAUAUAAAUAAUCGCCGUGCCUGGUGCUCUCAAAUUAGUCUGCUGCAAAAGUUUGUAGUGAUCACAAUAUACAUUCCUAUAAGAAUAAAACUUGCAUUUGUAACAUUAAUGAGGCUUAAUAGUGUCACUGCACAAGUUUCUGGCAUUCGAUUAGUACAUAUUAUAAUGAUAAUCACAUUAAGAAAUAAUUAUAUUUACUCUAAAUGUUCAACCAAGUAGAUAUUGUUCAAGUAAAUGGUGAAAAUGCACUUUUGGGCUGACCCUCUUACGGUUUGCUACGAUGGGUUUUUCCUUUCUGUUAAUGUAUAUACAAUGUAAAUGUUAGUUAGUUCCACAUUGGUUAGAAAGGAAAACAUUCAUCUGAAAUUAGACUAUAAAUAGGAUACCUCUCUUGUAAACAAAUCACACUAUUCAAUACAAUUCUCUUCUCUUUGUAUU
Molecule: long non-coding RNA, 729 nt
Organism: Olea europaea var. sylvestris
Lineage: Eukaryota; Viridiplantae; Streptophyta; Magnoliopsida; Lamiales; Oleaceae
Exons: 3
Source: RefSeq, a predicted model, not a curated record